AGAGUUUGAUCCUGGCUCAGAUUGAACGCUGGCGGCAUGCCUUACACAUGCAAGUCGAACGGCAGCACGGGUGCUUGCACCUGGUGGCGAGUGGCGAACGGGUGAGUAAUAUAUCGGAACGUACCUUAAUCGUGGGGGAUAACGCAGCGAAAGCUGCGCUAAUACCGCAUACGCCCUGAGGGGGAAAGCGGGGGACCGUAAGGCCUCGCGCGAUUAGAGCGGCCGAUAUCUGAUUAGCUUGUUGGUGGGGUAAAAGCCCACCAAGGCGACGAUCAGUAGCUGGUCUGAGAGGACGAUCAGCCACACUGGGACUGAGACACGGCCCAGACUCCUACGGGAGGCAGCAGUGGGGAAUUUUGGACAAUGGGGGCAACCCUGAUCCAGCAAUGCCGCGUGAGUGAAGAAGGCCUUCGGGUUGUAAAGCUCUUUUGUCAGGGAAGAAACAGCAGCUCUAACACAGUCUGCGAAUGACGGUACCUGAAGAAUAAGCACCGGCUAACUACGUGCCAGCAGCCGCGGUAAUACGUANGGUGCAAGCG
This 539-nucleotide ribosomal RNA is filed under the name uncultured freshwater bacterium. Its description in RNAcentral is "bacterial SSU rRNA". It matches the Rfam family "Bacterial small subunit ribosomal RNA", at positions 8 to 540 of the family's 1533-position model. The record is from RNAcentral.